This is a long non-coding RNA of Impatiens glandulifera, 848 nucleotides long. RefSeq lists it as uncharacterized. The transcript has 2 exons. The record is from RefSeq and is a predicted model, not a curated record. Lineage: Eukaryota; Viridiplantae; Streptophyta; Magnoliopsida; Ericales; Balsaminaceae.
CUUCAUCUGUAAAUCUCUUCUGUUUUUUUAUUCUAUCUAUUCUUCCUAUCAUCUGCAAAUCUCUUCAUUAUGUCCUCUCUAAUUUUCCCUUCUUCCUCUUCAUUUGUAUCACUAACAUUUCAAAGUCAAUCUACUACUACAGUAGCUUUAGAAACUUCUACGAUGAAAAUCAGAUUCAUUCUCAUUUCUUAGACGCUUAUGAGGAAUAUUGUAAAUCAUCUCUGCAUAUCUAUAAAAGUAGAAAUUUCACCUCAGAUAUGCAUAGAGAGUAACCGGUUUUACCUCAGAUCUGUAAUUUUUUCAGAAUAUAUUUUUUCGUCCUCAUAUCUGUAAUUUUUUCAGAUUAUAUUUUUUCUCAGAUCGAAAUCAUGUUGAUGAUGAAUAUAACUUGAUCCAACACUUUCAAUCGACAACAUCACCAGCUCCGGCAGCUUGUCCAGUUGUAAAUGAUCUAUGAACGAUCGAACAUUCGUGCAUAUUUAGAAAUGUUGACGGUUAGUGCAUAUUUAGAAUAUUCGCCCAUCGGAUUAAGCAGAUUUAUUGCGGAGGAUCUUGACAGCUACAGUUACAAUUGCUCAUCAGCGGGUUUCUGAUGUUAAUUUGCGAUUACUUGUUUUACGACCGCCGAGUGCCAAUAGCUUGCUAAAGAUGUUGACGGUUGGGUAGAUUUCAGAUUAUAUUUUUUUUAGAAAUUUUUAGUAUCACCGAGAGCCAAUAGCUCUCGUAAAAGUUAUUAAAUGUCUCUGAGGGCGACAAAUGCUAUGUUGGGUCAAAUUAUUUUGACUAAGUGUUCCAAUAAUUUAACCACUUAUUUUUUUUUAUGAUGAAAUAAUUUAUGAGUUUUGAUA